AGCAGCCGGGCUUUUUGGCUCCCAAACGGGCCCCGAGUCAGCCGGUGUGGGGGCCAAAAGCGGAAGCCAGCUUGGCUGGUUUGGCAGGCGGGUGGGAGGGUCUUGGGGUCUGCGGGGGGAAGCAGGGGGUGGGCAGGGUGCGUGGACCCUCCCCAGAGAUGGGGGUCUGGUUGUGUCGGACGCCGAAGUUCGGGAGGCCGGCGCGCAGCAGGCCGAACUCAACCUCUGCGAUGGUCUGUGGGGGGAAAGGCGCUUUUCAGACCCCACGUGCCCUCUUUGAGUCCAGCUCUUCUUUCUGCGCUGCUCAGAAUAGUCGUUAAGUAAUUAAUCGCACAAACUAACGAAUAUUUAUAGGGUGUGUAACUCUGAUGUUUAAUCCUAAUGCUCCAGUUUUGACUGCAGUUGAUAUACAACCUUAUCGAAAGCCCAGGCCGUUGCACAAAGCUGGAGCUUGUGAGGAGAAGCAGCUGAAAUCAGCCGGAGCUUCAGUGCGGAGCUGGGGCUUCAGUGAGCCAGAACUGUAGCAAGCGGGAGCUGGAACGAGGCGGGGUGUCCGCUGUCCGGAGCGUGCAUUAGCCAGAGGCAAAAGUACCUGCGGCUGUAACGAGCAGGAGCCGCGAUUAGCUGGAGCGUCUUUUCGCUGGAGCGUCUGUCGGCCGGACCGCGCUCCCAGCGCAGGCAGGGCUGUCUGCAGCGAGCAGCUCCGAGCAGCAGGGAGGUGAGUUGUCCUUCUGCCAGCGGGGAGCCCGGCCUCUCCCCUCGGGGAUGCAAUCCACGCCACGCUCCUCUCUCUGGGUGGAGGGUCUCUCCCGGGCCGUUCCCGCAGGCAGAAGCGAGGUGGGGGUCCCCCGGCUCUCCUGGGGCAGCCCCCCCCGGCGAGGGGGCACGGGCGAGGUGUCGUCGUCCCCUCGGUACCGGGCAAAGGGGAGAGAAACCGGCCGGUGGGAGUUCCUGGGGUGCAGAGCCCUUCCGGCAGCAUCCUCCCCUGUCUUUUCACCGUUGGCUGGGUGUGACAAGCAGGUUCAUUUCUUUGUCUCCUCUUUUCCCAGUGUCACCUUCCGCGUCACACGAAGAAAAUCCUGCGUGGUUAAUUCCGCUUGCUGCUCAGCUGGAUGUCAGCUGGCACCGUUUUGCCGUGGUUGCCCUUUCUUCUGCCAUGACAAUACGAGACAGAUGGAAAGAAUCCAUAGCGCUCUGCAAGUACAAGCUUUAUUCACCAAACGAGCAAGAUGCAAAGCAGCAGCAGCAGCGCAAGGGCUGUAGCUGUUGCGGUGGAUCCGUAAGCGUAGAUUCUGAUUGUGUACGACCUCGUCCCGCAGCCUCCCAGGGUUAUCUCCCUGCAGCAGUGCUUGUAAGGAAGGGAGGAGGCGUUUUCCAACCCCGGCAAGAGUGUUUACUUGUAUGCUAAGAAGGUGUUCAAAACGGUAUCCAUUAGCCUAAGUGCUGAUUUUAAGUGUUCAAAUCGCUCUUAACUUUUAAAGGAGGUGGUGUAUUUCGAGCUGACCUGUUUACCUGGAAUCCCCCUUUAGCUCAGCGACUCUUCUUGUGCACCCCCAGCCUCCGCUGGCAGAGAAGCUGGAAAGUCCUUGACUUAGUAUAAACACUGCUUAGCAGCA
Molecule: long non-coding RNA, 1616 nt
Organism: Aquila chrysaetos chrysaetos
Lineage: Eukaryota; Metazoa; Chordata; Aves; Accipitriformes; Accipitridae
Exons: 3
Source: RefSeq, a predicted model, not a curated record